Molecule: long non-coding RNA, 3451 nt
Filed under: Lactuca sativa (garden lettuce)
Lineage: Eukaryota; Viridiplantae; Streptophyta; Magnoliopsida; Asterales; Asteraceae
Description: long non-coding RNA (LSAT_LNC006512)
Source: RNAcentral
AUUAAUCGAUCAAAAUAAAUUUCCCCAAUUGUUUAUGUUGUGUGUCAAGUAGCAAGGAAAAAAAACGAUCAAUCAUAUUUGGGCGUGAAGUAGUCAUCGACGAUUGCUAGGAAAGAAAAAGAAGAAAACCAAACGUGAAGGAGAGGGGAAAAAGGGUUGCGAGUUUUGUGAGUCAAUUUGGGGCUAGGAAUCGUCCUUGGUAUGUCUUUGAUUCUUCUCUUUUGAAAUUCAUUCAUCAAUUGAUGAGAAUUGAUUAAUAGCAAUGUCAAUUCCUUUCUUUUUGGUGUUAUUGAUCAUAUCAUCUUCUUCCUUACAAUAUUUGAAUGUUCAUAUGUUUAAUUCUAGUUCUAUUGGGUGUAAUUUUGAUGGUUUAUUGCUGUCAAAAUUGCUUAUGAACACCUUCAUUAAGUUUACUGCUCAAGUUUAUGUUUUGAUCAAAGUUUUGGAGUCACAAUUCUUGUUGAUUUCUAAAACUUAUGAUAAAUUCCACCAUGAAUCAAAUGGAUAUGUUUCUGUGAUUAAAUCAUGCUAUUCCGGUUAAGAAGUUAAUUUUUACCCUUAUAGGUGUUUUUAGUGAUGGCUUAAUGUGUUAAGUGGUCAAAAAGCCCUUGAAACCCAAAGCUGGAAAAUUCAGCAAGAAUUACCAAUCUGUCCCUAUGUUGGAAAAAUUAUAGAAAAAUAAACAAGAAUCGAAUUAAUGAUCUGUAAACUCUCAAAGUUUCCAUUUUGAGUCUAGUUUAUCCAUGAAUUUUUCCAGAACCUUUUGUUGCUUCUAACUUAGGUGAAAAACGCCUUUUUCACCAGCUGUUCAGAAUUUAGCUGUAUUGAUAGGCAGAUUUGUAAAAAUCAUAUAAAAUUGUAGAAAAAUUGUUUGGACCUUCAAAAGUACAUUCUAAAAAGCUAAAAGUCCUAACUUCUGUAAUAUGAAAUAAAAACGAAAGCUAUACAGGUUCUAAGUUUGUUAAAACAGCUCUAACAGGUGGUUGUUUUGGGUUCAAAACUGGGAAUUUUACUUGCUAGUUGAUUUAUGUGUUUGGCUUAUAAACUUGUCAUCUUUGGCAUUGUAGAACUCCAAUAACCUUGUUAUUUGAAAUGUAAUAGGGGCAAGGGUGAUACUUCAACCAAUACAAUAUUUGAAGUGUGAGUUGAUCACAUUUUUGGCAAAGGUGAGUGAACUUGUGGUUUUAAAAGUACAUUGUUAGGAGUAUCACAUAUCUUAGAUGGAUUGGGAUGAACCUAGUUAUCUAGGAUGCAUGUGCCCUUUUGAUGACUGAUUGUUAUGCCGUUAUUAUUGAAAAGUUUUAUGUGUAAUGAUAUCUAGGGUGUUGCACGCUAGACUCUUCCUUGUUUAUUGUGAGAUGUGAGUUAGGGUCAUGCUAGAUUGAGUUAAGUGUAUGAAAAUUAUGUGAUGUGAGCAUAUUAAUUCUGUUUGAAAAUAUUUGUUUAAAAUGUUUUAGAACAAGCAUGUUAGUGUUGUAUCAACUUCAUUGAUGUGUUGUGUAUGGAAGUAGUGUGUGAUGUAAAAUGUGAUAACUUCAUGAAAUUACAUGUUUGCAUGAAAAUAACCCUUAAAGAGGUAAUAUGUUAAUAAAAGAAAAUUCAUAAUAUUUACAUGAUUACUUGAAAGGGUAAAUGUGCAACUUCUUAUUUAAUUAAUUAUUAUUAAAUUAAAAAGGGGAACACACUAGCGGGCGAAGGGUAGUAACCUAGACAUAGGUAUAUACCCAAUCCGGAUAUUAUGAUGACCUAGUGGGUUGAAAGAUACCUAUAGGAUAAAGAGCUUAAGGCAACUGUGACGCCGAUUGGUUUUUUUAGACAACCACUCGAGACAUGGUCUUCAUACUGUUGGAUAAGGUGUCUAAGUCCAUAACUUAUUUGGUAUAUACUUGACCCGACCUGACAUGGUCCAUUUGGGUUGCACUUCACCCGAACUAUUUAUAUGGAUAAUAUUUACGAGAAUAGUAUGUUUAUGAUUUAUUAAUAUAUUAUAAGUUAUAAUAUAUUAAUAUGAAAUCAUAUUAUUUAAUUAGUAUUGAUCUUAAAAUAAUUAUGAAUUAAUUUAGUGAUCAAAAGGUGACUAAUUAAACAUGGGCUAUUAUAUUUAUAUAGUGUGGGCUAACACUCAUUAUGAAAUGAGCUAAGCUUAAAUGGGAGUCCAUGGAUGGUCCAUGGAGCUUUUAACCCAUUGAUCCUUGGAAGAGGAAAAGACAUGGGUCAUUAGGGUUUGCAUAAGAGGCUUUUGAUGCUUGAAAUGACACUAAGUGGGUGUGCAUAAGAGUGGCCGAUUUCUAGAAGCUAGACAUACUCUCUCAUAAAGUUUUCCAAGUUUGUGGUGUUUUGUGAUUUCCAUUUGAGGCAUUCACAUUAUUGGUGUUUGGCUCUCAAACUCCAAAGGAAUCAACUAACAAUCAAAGGUAUGUAACUCUUCUUGUUCUUUUAUGUUUAAAAGUACCCCAUGCCAUGCUAGAUAGGUUAUGAACCUUGGAAAAAUGAUUUUGCAUGUAUUAUAGUCAAACAUAGAUCCAAGGUUUCUAGGGUUGCAUGAACACCUUAGGAGCGUUAGUUUGCUCAAAACCCAGUUAUCGGGACUGGAGUGAUGUUGUUCAAGCGGUGGGACCAGCGCAAACAUCAUGUGGGAUUUGGGAGGUGUAUCGGUUGGAAUUGGCACCGCUCGUACCAGUCCUUAACGACAACACAUGUACAUGUAUGUGCACAGUCGGAGUAGCGAAUGUAGCGCACCGGGAGCAAUGAUUACGGGUGAGAGUUGCGCCUCACUUAGUGCAUUGGGUCGUGCCGGUCACGUUAGUAGCGAACGGGGUCUUGCUUUGGGGGAUUUUGCGGUGAAUAAAUAGACCCUAAAUAAGAGGUAAUACUUUAAUAAUUAUAACGAUGAGCGGUGAGUAAUUAUUAAUGUAAAGCAGAGAAACAAAAUAUUAUAUAAUAAUAUUCAAUUGGUGAAUCGAUAAGAUUAGUUACAACGGUGUGAAGGAGAGUAACUAAUAAAAUAAGCUCUAACUGAAGAAAUAAAAUAAAUUGAGCUAAACAUGUGUUUGUUAUGUGGUGUGAUUUGUAUGUCUUGCUAGUGAGUCUUUGACUGGGUGUGGAUACUUUGUGUGAAUCCAACUAUGAUAUGUGUGUUCUAUUAACACUGUACUAUCUUGACUCACUUAGCUUAUGCUAACACUUGUUCUUUGUUUGUUGGUUUUCUUUGUUUGUUGGAACAGGUAGCUUGACAUGAUGCCUUGGUGAGGAUGGGAGCUUUUGGGUAGUCUUAGUUAGUAUCUUUAGUUAUGAUACCAUUUAAACAUGUUGGGUUUUCAUCAUUACGUUUUUGUGAACUUUAAAUUUAGAUGGGUUUGUUUUUACAUGAAAGUAACAUUGGUGAUGUUUUUGAAAUAAACAUAAUAAGUAUUCCGCAACGUAUUCUGUUAAAUAAUGUUUUACAAAUAAA